Xiphias gladius (swordfish) is the source of this 414-nucleotide long non-coding RNA. RefSeq lists it as uncharacterized. The transcript has 3 exons. The record is from RefSeq and is a predicted model, not a curated record. NCBI's taxonomy places the organism in Eukaryota, Metazoa, Chordata, Actinopteri, Istiophoriformes, Xiphiidae.
GAGGCAGCAGAUUGACCUGUUUCCAAUAAUCAGUGGCGGAAGAAGUGUUGAGAUUUUCUGCUUCAGUAAAAGUAGCUAAACACAACUGUAAAAAUACUCCAGUACAGUUAGCAUGCUAACCAGCUAGCUCCGGUCUGGCAGGGCCCGUCUCGUCACUUUGUGAUAGUGAGUCACUGUAGCGUCCGGAGUGCCCUCGGCCCAGCCCUCAGAGCGAGUAUUCUAACCUCUUGACCUGUAUACGCAACGAUGGCUGAAGCUCUUGGCAAGCGACCGUUGUCACCACCACCACCACCAGCCGCUCCCGACAAGAAAAUCUGUUCAUCAGGCAGAGGAGGUGUGUCCUGUUGCCAUGGAGACGCGUCCCCGGGGAACGCGGCGGUGAAUCGUGAUUGUGGAAACGCUUGUCCCGGAGCA